UUAGAAAUUGUAGCAAUGAUGAAAAUCAAAGCUUUUAAUUUGUGUUUCCUUUAUGCAUUGUUUCUUUUAUCUGUUGUGGCAACAGAGACAUUAAAAGAAGGUAAACAAUAUACGGAAGAGUCAAAGAAAAAUGUUUUGGUAGAUAAGCUUGAUGGUGGCAAAAACCCAUAGAUAUAUAAUCUUUUGAUCAAAAUAAGCCCGUUGGUGCUAGAAAUAAAACAAGGGAAGAAAGGAUGAUGGAAAAGGAAGCAAAGCAGAAGGAAAGGGAAGCAAAGCAGAAGGAAAUAGCUUUGGCAAAGGAAGCAAAGCAAAAGGAAAGGGAAGCAAAGCAGAAGGAAAAGGAAAAAAAGCAGGAGCAAAUAGCUUAUGCAAAGAAAGUAAAGCAUAAGAGAAUAGCUAUGCUAAAGGAAGCAAAGGAGAAGGCAAUAGCUAUGGACAAUAGAGAAUUGGCAAGGAGAAAGAGAUCAAGGUCAUGGGCAUUAAGAAUGGCAAGGUUAAGUGCUAUUAAAAGGAAGCAGAUGUUAUUGGAAAGGAAGCAGAUGGAAAAGGAAGCAAAGCAGAAGGAAAUUGUAACACCCCAAAUUUUAUAAUAAACUACUUUAUUAAAUAAAUAGAAUUUUAAAUAAUUAAUUUGAUGACUAAUAUUAUUUUAGAAUAUAUGUUGAUAAAUUUCGUGGCUAAUUUUUCUUAUAAGCAUGACUUCUAUGAUGUGCUAGUUUUAUAAAUAUUAGAUUACAUGAACG
Molecule: long non-coding RNA, 743 nt
Filed under: Cicer arietinum (chickpea)
Lineage: Eukaryota; Viridiplantae; Streptophyta; Magnoliopsida; Fabales; Fabaceae
Description: long non-coding RNA (CARI_LNC003283)
Source: RNAcentral